UAGGGAAUCUUCGGCAAUGGACGAAAGUCUGACCGAGCAACGCCGCGUGAGUGAAGAAGGUUUUCGGAUCGUAAAACUCUGUUGUUAGAGAAGAACAAGGACGUUAGUAACUGAACGUCCCCUGACGGUAUCUAACCAGAAAGCCACGGCUAACUACGUGCCAGCAGCCGCGGUAAUACGUAGGUGGCAAGCGUUGUCCGGAUUUAUUGGGCGUAAAGCGAGCGCAGGCGGUUUCUUAAGUCUGAUGUGAAAGCCCCCGGCUCAACCGGGGAGGGUCAUUGAAACUGGGAGACUUGAGUGCAGAAGAGGAGAGUGGAAUUCCAUGUGUAGCGGUGAAAUGCGUAGAUAUAUGGAGGAACACCAGUGGCGAAGGCGGCUCUCUGGUCUGUAACUGACGCUGAGGCUCGAAAGCGUGGGGAGCAAACAGG
RNAcentral lists this ribosomal RNA (428 nucleotides) under Chloroflexota bacterium. RNAcentral's name for it is "Chloroflexi bacterium partial 16S ribosomal RNA". It matches the Rfam family "Bacterial small subunit ribosomal RNA", at positions 355 to 776 of the family's 1533-position model. The record is from RNAcentral. RNAcentral also lists the same sequence under 1 other name. Lineage: Bacteria; Bacillati; Chloroflexota.